UUUUUAAUUCUGGUAGCUGUUCUUCUAUAUAACAUCUUCCUUGUUUGGGUAUUAAUGUUAUGUACUUUUUCCUAUUGAAAACCAACUUUCUUCAGGUUGUGUUUAUGCACAGUGAGCAUGAAUACAUUUUUUUAUAUUGGCUUGAAUUUCAGCCUGAUGUAUCACCUCAUUAGCAACUCCUGUUUUAGAAAAUAUUGAAAGAUCUGUCUUGGGGAGCACAGAAAUUAAUUUUUCAGCCAUUAACCAAUGUUAUUAACAGUCUCAAAUAGGUCCAUAAGUGAAGGUAUUUAUAAAUUAUACUUUGAUUGAAAUAUAACACUUCUACUCUUCUGGUGCAACCCAAGUGUAGUACUGGAUAUAAUUUGUUAUUUUCUGGUGACACAAGUAGGUGGAAGUGUAUUUCAAGAAGGAAGAGUAUUUUCACUAAGGCCUUAUGCUAAACUAAACCCCUUUUCCUUCCCUUCUCAUCUCUCCCUCUUUCUUCCCACCUUCACAGCCCUCCUCCUGCCUAAAAUCCCACCUGUCCCUUGCAAAGGCUUUUUGGCAUCUCUGCUAAUGAGCUGAUGCUGUCAAAUUCAUCUUUUUUAGAAGAGAUUCAGAACCUGUUCUCCUGAGGUGAAAUAUCAGGGCUUUCAGACUGUAUUCUUCUUGUAAAAUAUAACCUAGAUCCUUUAAGAUGAAAUAGGCACUUUAGAAGCACCUGGGCUUAUCUUUCAGUUUUUCUGCUCAGCUGUGUUAUGCACAAAGGUCUUUUUCUAGGUGACAUAUCAUGUUGUAUUCCAAAGUACACUUUCUUUUAAUUUACAACUUAAUUUUCAACCUAAUUCAGAAGAUUGAUACUAUAAUGCUAUUUGCAGAAGUAUUGAAAUGUCAGUAAGUUUUAUUGUAGUAAUAAAGAGAAUUCCAUAUAUCACACACUCUAUAGGGAUCCUUGCUUUUUGCAUAGAUCUUCAUAGCAACAACCAGUGGAUAAAUGCUGGCAAUCAUUAAUUUUUAAAGAAGACAUGGUUAUGAUGAGUUGAGAAAUUAAGACCAUAGUGAUGAAUGAACUUUAAUUUUUGACACUUUUUGUUAGAGUCUAAGAGGAGACAGGGGUAGAUUGUGGGGAGGGGGAAAGGGAAAAAUAAGGAGGGGGGGAAUUGUCCAAAUCCCAGGUUCCUAAUACUUAAAAUGCUAUCUGCUCGUAAAAGAUUUCAGUCAGGGAGAGGCCAUCUUCGAGCUUCUUUUAACAAAUGGAUAUCAGUGGUCCAUGAAAUAAUCAAUGUCGAUAAUCCAUCCUAGGAUCUGCCAAUAUGUUAAUGGCUCUGCCACAUCGUUAUUGCUACAAGGCCAUAAAUCAUUUCCGUACCAGAAUGCUUAGCAGUUGAGGACUCAAACCCCUAGCCUGGAAUAAAAUGCUGUCUCUUAACAAUUAAUGUCUAAACAUCUUGCAGCUUUGUGCCUUGAUUGUUUUCAGAUGCUAAAAAAGUAAGUAGGACAGAUUGUAAAUCAAUAAAACAAUAAGACAAAGUGUUUUAAUAAUAGAAAGACUCGAAGUAAAUCAUAGUUCUGUGUUUAUUAUUGCUUUGGAAGCUAUAAAUAAAUAGUACCAACUGGAAUAGGUUUAGUUAAGGAAAAAUAAGACUGGUAUUGACAUUUUGAGCAUGCGUUACAUUAUGUUUUCGCUCCUAGAAGGUAAGGUAGAUAGGGGUUAGCUUUAUUAUUUCUAUUUUUAAAAUGGGAGAAUAGGAGUUAAGAAAUGCUUGGAUCUUUGAAUUGUCAUUCA
RNAcentral lists this long non-coding RNA (1765 nucleotides) under Strigops habroptila (Kakapo). RNAcentral describes it as "lncRNA (ENSSHBG00005020803.1)". Lineage: Eukaryota; Metazoa; Chordata; Aves; Psittaciformes; Psittacidae. The record is from RNAcentral.